AAAAGGUUAUGACUCUAAAAUAAGAGCUUGCCUUGAAGGGGUUAAGGUUUUAGCAUGGGUUUAGUUUAAAUAAUUUUAUAGCAAACUAAGCUUAAAUCAUGGCAUUGGUAAGCCCUAAAAGGGGUGUUCCCGACAUGGUUAGUGAUGGAUUAAAUCUGGUAUAAACCUCGUAAUUCCGUUGGUAAGUCCUGUAUGGCUGGUUGAAUCGCCUAUGGAUGUUCCCG
RNAcentral lists this long non-coding RNA (224 nucleotides) under Nicotiana benthamiana. RNAcentral describes it as "long non-coding RNA (NBEN_LNC010477)". Lineage: Eukaryota; Viridiplantae; Streptophyta; Magnoliopsida; Solanales; Solanaceae. The record is from RNAcentral.